UACGAAGGGGGCUAGCGUUGCUCGGAAUCACUGGGCGUAAAGCGCACGUAGGCGGGUCGUUAAGUCAGGGGUGAAAUCCCGGAGCUCAACUCCGGAACUGCCUUUGAUACUGGCGAUCUUGAGUUCGAGAGAGGUGAGUGGAACUGCGAGUGUAGAGGUGAAAUUCGUAGAUAUUCGCAAGAACACCAGUGGCGAAGGCGGCUCGCUGGCUCGAUACUGACGCUGAGGUGCGAAAGCGUGGGGAGCAAACAGG
This 253-nucleotide ribosomal RNA is filed under the name uncultured bacterium. Its description in RNAcentral is "partial 16S ribosomal RNA". It matches the Rfam family "Bacterial small subunit ribosomal RNA", at positions 524 to 776 of the family's 1533-position model. The record is from RNAcentral.